Lytechinus variegatus (green sea urchin) is the source of this 176-nucleotide long non-coding RNA. RefSeq lists it as uncharacterized. The transcript is spliced from 2 exons. Lineage: Eukaryota; Metazoa; Echinodermata; Echinoidea; Temnopleuroida; Toxopneustidae. The record is from RefSeq and is a predicted model, not a curated record.
CGCGCAUGCGCUACUUGCACGCUAUGACGUCAACCAUCGCGCGAACCAUUCCCGUUUGACGUCGCCAUUGCUGAAUUGGAUCAAGAGAAUACUGGCUACUGGAAGAAGUCACUACGCAACAGAUUCAGGAAUUGCAGGAAGUGUCAUGAACGUGAUAAUCCAUUAGGACAAAUGGA